This 223-nucleotide ribosomal RNA is filed under the name Clostridium botulinum D/C. Its description in RNAcentral is "partial 16S ribosomal RNA". It matches the Rfam family "Bacterial small subunit ribosomal RNA", at positions 1320 to 1533 of the family's 1533-position model. Lineage: Bacteria; Bacillati; Bacillota; Clostridia; Eubacteriales; Clostridiaceae. The record is from RNAcentral.
AUGAAGUUGGAGUUGCUAGUAAUCGCGAAUCAGCAUGUCGCGGUGAAUACGUUCCCGGGUCUUGUACACACCGCCCGUCCCACCAUGAGAGCCGGUAACACCCGAAGCCCGUGAGGUAACCGUAAGGAGCCAGCGGUCGAAGGUGGGAUUGGUGAUUGGGGUGAAGUCGUAACAAGGUAGCCGUAGGAGAACCUGCGGCUGGAUCACCUCCUUUCUAGGGAGA